AUACGUAGGUGGCGAGCGUUGUCCGGAAUUACUGGGUGUAAAGGGCGUGUAGGCGGGUUCUUAAGUCAGAUGUGAAAUUCCGGGGCUCAACUCCGGAGCUGCAUCUGAAACUGGGGAUCUUGAGUGCUGGAGGGGAAAGUGGAAUUCCUAGUGUAGCGGUGAAAUGCGUAGAGAUUAGGAGGAACACCAGUGGCGAAGGCGGCUUUCUGGACAGUAACUGACGCUGAGGCGCGAAAGCGUGGGGAGCAAACAGGAUUAGAUACCCUGGUAGUCCACGCCGUAAACGAUGGAUACUAGGUAUAGGGGGUCUAAUAUACCCUCUGUGCCGCAGCUAACGUAUUAAGUAUCCCACCUGGGGAGUACGGCCGCAAGGUUGAA
Molecule: ribosomal RNA, 378 nt
Filed under: uncultured bacterium
Lineage: Bacteria
Description: bacterial SSU rRNA
Rfam family: Bacterial small subunit ribosomal RNA
Source: RNAcentral